This 144-nucleotide transfer RNA is filed under the name Chryseobacterium sp. RNAcentral's name for it is "tRNA-OTHER". Lineage: Bacteria; Pseudomonadati; Bacteroidota; Flavobacteriia; Flavobacteriales; Weeksellaceae. The record is from RNAcentral.
GGAAACAGAUGGCGUAAUGGUAUCGCUCUGUCGUGAGUUUCUGUUUGAUUGAAUGCCCUGCUUAAAAAAAAUCAAGUGUCGUUUGAGGAUCAUACUUCGGGAUUUAGAAACAUUGGGUCGCAGGUUCAAUUCCUGCUCUUUCCC